Ornithorhynchus anatinus (platypus) is the source of this 72-nucleotide non-coding RNA. Lineage: Eukaryota; Metazoa; Chordata; Mammalia; Monotremata; Ornithorhynchidae. The record is from Rfam.
AGCAGUGUUGCUCAGUGGUAAGAGCACAGGCUUGGGAGUCAGAGGUCAUGGGUUCGAAUCCUAGCUCUGCCG